UGACCACGGACCCUUCUGUAUC
RNAcentral lists this microRNA (22 nucleotides) under Caenorhabditis briggsae. Its description in RNAcentral is "Cbr-Novel-3_3p (mature (guide))". The record is from RNAcentral. Lineage: Eukaryota; Metazoa; Nematoda; Chromadorea; Rhabditida; Rhabditidae.